GCAAGAUACAGACCAUCAAGGGAACGACUUCCCUCUUCUCUUGCUCUCUCUCGUCAAGUGUACUGGGGUACUGAGAGAGGGGCACAAGCAAGGACUUUCAUCCCACUUCUCCAACAUAUGUGUGCACAUUAAGGCAGAUUUACCUAGGGAGUAAGAUGCUCUUUGCCCAGUGGGCCUUUCCUCUGCGGUCAGUUUAUGAGUGAAAUUUCUAAGCAAGAUUGUUUCAGAAACCCCUAGGAAAAAGCCGCGCACGCAGUAAUCAUGAAAGACUGGCCUUCACCCGUGUUCUGGAACCCGAGGUUUGCUGCUGGAAGCCUCCAAAGUACUUAGUGUCUAUUGUUUCCCCUGUGUGAAACUUUCACUCCCACCUCUACUAAUACAAACAAGAAUUACUACUCUGAAA
RNAcentral lists this long non-coding RNA (403 nucleotides) under Homo sapiens (human). RNAcentral's name for it is "novel transcript". Lineage: Eukaryota; Metazoa; Chordata; Mammalia; Primates; Hominidae. The record is from RNAcentral.